RNAcentral lists this transfer RNA (72 nucleotides) under Camelus bactrianus (Bactrian camel). It matches the Rfam family "tRNA". From Rfam's summary of the family: Transfer RNA (tRNA) molecules are approximately 80 nucleotides in length. RNAcentral also lists the same sequence under 1 other name. Lineage: Eukaryota; Metazoa; Chordata; Mammalia; Artiodactyla; Camelidae. The record is from Rfam by way of RNAcentral.
GAGGGUUUAGCUCAGUUGUAGAGUGUGUGCUUUGCAUGCAUGAGGCCCUGAGUUCAAUCCCCAGUACUUCUG